GAUGAACGCUGGCGGCGUGCUUAAUACAUGCAAGUCGAACGGAAAGGCCCGGCUCUUGCUGGGUGCUCGAUUGGCGAACGGGUGAGUAACACAUGAGUAACACCCCCCUGAAUUAGGGGUAACUCCUGGAAAAUCGGGCGAAUACCGGGUAGGAGCUUCUGCUGCAUGGUGGGGGUUGGUAAGAUACGGCGGUGGGGGAUGGUCUCGCGGGUUACCAGCUUGUUGGUGAGGUAGUGGCGUACGAAGUCUUUGAAGGGUAGCCGGCAUGGGAGGGUGACCGGCGACAUUGGGACUGCGAUACGGCCCAGAAUGCUACGGGACGCAGCAGUGGAGAAUAUUGCAGAAUGGCGGGGAGCCUGAUGUAGCAACGCCGCGUGCGGGAUAAUGGCUUUCGAGUUGUAAACAGAUUUGGAAUGUACCGUACCGUGCGUGACGGUAAUUGGUCAGAAAGCCACGGCUAACUACGUG
RNAcentral lists this ribosomal RNA (468 nucleotides) under uncultured bacterium. RNAcentral's name for it is "partial 16S ribosomal RNA". It matches the Rfam family "Bacterial small subunit ribosomal RNA", at positions 28 to 507 of the family's 1533-position model. The record is from RNAcentral.